RNAcentral lists this ribosomal RNA (424 nucleotides) under uncultured bacterium. RNAcentral's name for it is "bacterial SSU rRNA". It matches the Rfam family "Bacterial small subunit ribosomal RNA", at positions 340 to 755 of the family's 1533-position model. The record is from RNAcentral.
UACGGAAGGCAGCAGUGGGGAAUAUUGCACAAUGGGCGAAAGCCUGAUGCAGCUAUGCCGCGUGUAUGAAGAAGGCCUUAGGGUUGUAAAGUACUUUCAUCGGGGAGGAAAAAACAAAACUAAUAAUUUUAUUUCUUGACGUUACCCGAAAAAGAAGCACCGGCUAACUCCGUGCCAGCAGCCGCGGUAAUACGGAGGGUGCUAGCGUUAAUCAGAAUUACUGGGCGUAAAGAGCACGUAGGUGGUUUUUUUAAGUCAGAUGUGAAAUCCCUGGGCUUAACCUAGGAACUGCAUUUUGAAACUGAAAUACUAGAGUAUCGUAGAGGGAGGUAGAAUUCUAGGUGUAGCGGUGAAAUGCGUAGAUAUCUGGAGGAAUACCUGUGGCGAAAGCGGCCUCCUAAACGAAUACUGACACUGAGGUGCG